This 3205-nucleotide long non-coding RNA is filed under the name Triticum aestivum (bread wheat). Its description in RNAcentral is "long non-coding RNA (TAES_LNC025942)". Lineage: Eukaryota; Viridiplantae; Streptophyta; Magnoliopsida; Poales; Poaceae. The record is from RNAcentral.
UGUAGGAUAGAAGGGUUGUUUCCAAGAACAUAAAACUCACAAAAGUGCAUGUAUGAAUGUAUUUUGAAUGAUUACAAUUUGACAUGCAUCUCAUAGUACUGACUUUUGACCCUUAUCUAAUAAUUGUCCCCCCUUAGACUAAUCCAUAUCAAGCAUUAUUUCUCUAUCUCAGUGAACAUAAAUGGUUGGCGUGGUGCUUCUCAGAUCCUCCCAUCCAAUAAGUUUAGCAAUUUUUACAUACCACUGUUAUUAGUGCAGAAUACAUAUAAUAUGAAAGUUCUCAUUCAAAUUAGCGAAAUAUGCUUACCAGGUGUUAUGAUUUCUAGAUAUGUACCACAAUUUUCUCAGUAAGACUUUCCACUUUCCUUUUGUAGUUAGUUUGUGUCAAUCAGAAUUGGAAAACAAAAGCAUAAAAAAUCACCCAAAAACUUAAAAGUUAGCAUCCCGAAGAAGUUGAUAGACUAAUAAUUCAGAUAUGAUGAUUCUAUUAUAACUGAUAUGACUCCAUUGUUAGAAAAGCACUACAGGUCUGAGAGUCUCGUUUUCCUCAAGAACUGGUGAUAUCAUAUCAUAGAAGAAGUUUGAUCCAUCGCCUGACUUGUCUGAUUUUUUUGCCUCAUUCCAGUAAGUUCUUGUAAUGCUCUCCUUCUGUAAAAUAUUUCUACGCUCCUUGUUUAUUGCUAUCCAUCUCAAUCAUUUUUGGUAUACUUUCUUCUCUUCCAUAUGUGGAGUUAGUCAAGUAAAAUUGUUAUGUUAUAUUGGUGUAAACAUGAGUCACAAUUCAUUUGGAUAAAUAAUAGAAGAUAUUUAGAUUUAUUUAGUACGACUCGAAAUCUUGAUCAAUCGGUAUAUAGAUUUUACCAUAAAUGAUUUAUUUUGUCUUUACUGUUUAUUAAGGCUCAAAUAUAUCCGGUGUUCAGAUAGGUUGACGCUUGUUUUUUUGUACUGUGCCUCAUAUCAAUGUCUAUUUUUCUGCCCGUUAAGUCUGAGUCCAACAUGUCUGUCCGUCAGAAUUAGAUGCAAGUGCAUGCAUGUACACAUGGGAUGUGUUUGGCGGCUAGACUUUUUAAUAUAUUUCCCAGUAAAUUGAACGAUUAAGGCGUGCCUUUUGUUUUUCUUCGAAGGACCUACCAACAUUUUCUAAAGUGUGUAGAUGAUCUGAUAAUGAUUAUUUCCUAGUAGAUUGAUUUACUUAGGCUUGUACCUCAAUUACUUAGAACUUUUUCGUGCCUGUUUCUUUUUUAGCUGUGUAGAUCUGUAUAUAUUCUUCUAGCGCUACUUGGCUUUAGGCACAACCCUAUUAAAUCAAUCACAAAUCUAUUAGAUUUGUUUGUAACAUCAUUGGACUUACUGUAUGAAUUUCUGCAAUAAUUAAAUUCUCAUUUGAAAAAUAAGCAAACAUUCCAAAUAGUCUAGUUCUGGUUUCAUGACCCCUAAAGGGGCUGAGCUGAAAAAGUGUUAAUCUUAGCCGCAAUGGUGGAAGUCCAAUUAAAAUUUCAGUAAUGGACAUGCAUUAUGCACUUGCUCUGUUAUUAGAAGCAGUCUUGUGGUAGUAUGAAGUUUGUAAAAUCCUUUUUGUUAUUCUUGAUUCCUUUUUUUGCGGGGAUUAUUAUUCUUGAUUCCACAUGCUUUAUUUGGGUGAAUAAUCCAAUGUCAUGCAAAUUUGCAUAUUAAUUUCUUCAUGGCUAGAAAUAUUAAUUAGAUUAUUUAAAAGUGUAGAGUAUAGACAUACGUGAGCAUUGCUUAACUUUAUCUCCCUGUUUUGUAUCGUGUCCUUGGUGGCAAACUCAGAAUUGUAAUCUAGACAACAUUCUAAUGGUCCUUUCACCUUCUGUACCUAUACAUUGUAUGAAGAAAUAAAUUAAUUUCAUUUCUCAAUGGGCGAUACUUUGUGGAUUCCACAAACCUAAAAGUAUUAUAUGCAUCCCCGUAAAAAAGUGUUAUAUGCAUAAAUAGAAUUAUUAUUUUCUUUCUUUAUUAUAAGUGUAUCAAAUUCCUCCAGAUAAUAGCAUGAUGCUUUUAAUGUUGAUAGUAACAUGAACCGUUUUGCCAUGUGAAUGCAAACAAAAUAUAAUUAGCAUUUGCUUGUUUUAAAUUGUUGAUCUGUUGUAUGAUUGAGGUAACCCACAUUCUUUAUACUUUUACUUGAAUGUUCUAGUUUGUCCUGUUGUUGGUAAGUGCUAAGCUUCUUCAACACCAUAGUUUUUUGGCUAUGAAAAGAUUCUGCAAUUUUUAGUCAGCUAUCUAUGUAGCUUUUAUUCUGAAAAUUGAAUUAAUUAAUUCAUAAUAUUUACGAACCUGAUUCAGGUGAGAGGCAACUCAGAAGACCUGUCCUGACUUCAUCGGGCAUUGAGAUGCAGUCACAUCAGAGUUUUGGCAUUUUUUGUCUUCAAUUUUGUUGUGGUGCUUUAGUCGGAUAGCAGAUUUGUUCUGUAGUCUUCGAUUCUAUUGGUGAUUCUCUUGCCGGGUAGCAGAUUCUGGAAGACAACCUGAUUCAGGUGAGAGGCAACUCAGAAGACCUGUCCUGACUUCAUCGGGCAUUGAGAUGCAGUCACAUCGGAGUUUUGGCAUUUUUUGUCUUCAAUUUUGUUGUGGUGCUUUAGUCAGAUAGCAGAUUUGUUUUGUAGUCUUCGAUUCUGUUGGUGAUUCUCUUGCCGGGUAGCAGAUUCUGGAAGACAACCUGAUUCAGGUGAGAGGCAAUUCAGAAGACCUGUCCUGACAUCAUCGGGCAUUGAGAUGCAGUCACAUCAGAGUUUUGGCAUUUUUUGUCUUCAAUUUUGUUGUGGUGCUUUAGUCAGAUAGCAGAUUUGUUCUGUAGUCUUCGAUUCUGAUGGUGAUGCUCUUGCCGGGUAGCAGAUUCUGGAAGACUUCAAUUUUCUCGAUGGUGCUCUGAUCGGGUAGCAGAUUUAAAGACAUUGAUUUGUCCAGAAUUGGUUGAUUCAACUCUUGGGGUUGGAUGUGGGGCUGGGUGCCUUUCUGAUUUGUUGGCUUGGCCGAUCCAUGUAGAGUUUCUCUUUAUCAAGACUUCAUGUGGAAUUUCCUUUCCUGAAGACUCCAUGUGGAGAGUCCGACUGUAGUUAUCCUUGUUUUUUUCCCUUCCAUGAAGACUCCACGGUUGUAGUUAUCCUUGUUUUCUUUUGGCAUGCACAUGCCUAGUUUGGAAUUAGAUGCACGUGAGGUUAUGUAUCUUCUAUGACGUGAUUAC